RNAcentral lists this ribosomal RNA (2923 nucleotides) under Lactiplantibacillus plantarum. RNAcentral's name for it is "bacterial LSU rRNA". It matches the Rfam family "Bacterial large subunit ribosomal RNA". The record is from RNAcentral. Lineage: Bacteria; Bacillati; Bacillota; Bacilli; Lactobacillales; Lactobacillaceae.
AGGUUAAGUUAACAAGGGCGCAUGGUGAAUGCCUUGGCACUAGGAGCCGAUGAAGGACGGGACUAACACCGAUAUGCUUCGGGGAGCUGUACGUAAGCUAUGAUCCGGAGAUUUCCGAAUGGGGCAACCCAGCAGUUUUAAUCAACUGUUACCACUAGAUGAAUUCAUAGUCUGGUUGGAGGUAAACGCUGUGAACUGAAACAUCUCAUUAGCAGCAGGAAUAUAAAGAAAUUUCGAUUCCCUAAGUAGCGGCGAGCGAACGGGGAACAGCCCAAACCAAAGUGCUUGCACUUUGGGGUUGUAGGACUGAACAUUUGAGUUACCAAAGAACUUGAUAGUCGAAGGAUUUGGGAAAAUCCGCCAUAGAUGGUGAUAGCCCAGUAGAUUAAAUCAAAUUCUCUCAGUUCAGGAUCCUGAGUACGGCGGAACACGUGAAAUUCCGUCGGAAUCCGGGAGGACCAUCUCCCAAGGCUAAAUACUACCUAGUGACCGAUAGUGAACCAGUACCGUGAGGGAAAGGUGAAAAGCACCCCGGGAGGGGAGUGAAAUAGUUCCUGAAACCAUGUGCCUACAAUAAGUCAGAGCGCGUUAAUGCGUGAUGGCGUGCCUUUUGUAGAAUGAACCGGCGAGUUAUGAUCCCGUGCAAGGUUAAGACUAAAAAGUCGGAGCCGUAGCGAAAGCGAGUCUGAAAUGGGCGUUUUGAGUACGAGGUUAUAGACCCGAAACCAGGUGACCUAUCCAUGUCCAGGUUGAAGGUGCGGUAAAACGCACUGGAGGACCGAACCCGUGUAAGUUGAAAAUUGCUGGGAUGAGGUGUGGAUAGCGGUGAAAUUCCAAACGAACUUGGAGAUAGCUGGUUCUCUCCGAAAUAGCUUUAGGGCUAGCCUCGGAAUUAGGAUCAUGGAGGUAGAGCACUAUUUGGACUAGGGGCCCGUCUUGGGUUACUGAAUUCAGAUAAACUCCGAAUGCCAUUGAUUCAUAUCCGGGAGUCAGACGAUGAGUGAUAAGAUCCACCGUCGAAAGGGGAACAGCCCAGACCAUCAGUUAAGGUCCCUAAAUGUAUGCUAAGUGGAAAAGGAUGUGGAGUUGCAUAGACAACUAGGAUGUUGGCUCAGAAGCAGCCACCAUUUAAAGAGUGCGUAAUAGCUCACUAGUCGAGUGAUCCUGCGCCGAAAAUGUACCGGGGCUAAGCAUACUACCGAAACCAUGGAUGCGACCAUUAGGUCGCGUGAUAGGAGAGCGUUCUAAGGGCGGUGAAGCAAGAUCGUGAGGACUUGUGGAGCGCUUAGAAGUGAGAAUGCCGGUAUGAGUAGCGAAAGAUAGGUGAGAAUCCUAUCCACCGAAUGACUAAGGUUUCCUGGGGAAGGCUCGUCCUCCCAGGGUUAGUCGGGACCUAAGUCGAGGCCGAGAGGCGUAGACGAUGGAUAACAGGUUGAGAUUCCUGUACUAGUUAAGUGCGUUUGAGCAAUGGAGGGACGCAGGAGGCUAAGAUGUGCAUUCUGUUGGAUUAGAAUGUCCAAGCAGUAAGUCUUGUGAAGAGUCAAAUGCUUUUCACUUUAAGGACAAGCUGUGAUGGGGAGCGAAAUUUAGUAGCGAAGCGUCUGAUGUCACACUGCCGAGAAAAGCUUCUAGUGAGUACUUAACUACCCGUACCGCAAACCGACACAGGUAGUCGAGGAGAGAAUCCUAAGGUGAGCGAGUGAACUCUCGUUAAGGAACUCGGCAAAAUGACCCCGUAACUUCGGGAGAAGGGGUGCUGAUCGCAAGAUCAGCCGCAGUGAAUAGGCCCAGGCGACUGUUUAUCAAAAACACAGGUCUCUGCAAAAUCGUAAGAUGACGUAUAGGGGCUGACGCCUGCCCGGUGCUGGAAGGUUAAAAGGAUGGGUUAGCUUCGGCGAAGCUCAGAAUUGAAGCCCCAGUAAACGGCGGCCGUAACUAUAACGGUCCUAAGGUAGCGAAAUUCCUUGUCGGGUAAGUUCCGACCCGCACGAAAGGCGUAACGAUCUGGGCACUGUCUCAACGAGAGACUCGGUGAAAUUAUAUUGUCCGUGAAGAUGCGGACUACCCGCGACAGGACGGAAAGACCCCAUGGAGCUUUACUGUAGCUUGAUAUUGAGUGUUUGUACAGCUUGUACAGGAUAGGUAGGAGCCAUAGAAACCGGAACGCUAGUUUCGGUGGAGGCGUUGGUGGGAUACUACCCUCGCUGUAUGACCACUCUAACCCGCACCACUAAUCGUGGUGGGAGACAGUGUCAGGUGGGCAGUUUGACUGGGGCGGUCGCCUCCUAAAAAGUAACGGAGGCGCCCAAAGGUUCCCUCAGAAUGGUUGGAAAUCAUUCGCAGAGUGUAAAGGCACAAGGGAGCUUGACUGCGAGACAGACAGGUCGAGCAGGGACGAAAGUCGGGCUUAGUGAUCCGGUGGUACCGUAUGGAAGGGCCAUCGCUCAACGGAUAAAAGCUACCCUGGGGAUAACAGGCUUAUCUCCCCCAAGAGUCCACAUCGACGGGGAGGUUUGGCACCUCGAUGUCGGCUCAUCGCAUCCUGGGGCUGUAGUCGGUCCCAAGGGUUGGGCUGUUCGCCCAUUAAAGCGGUACGCGAGCUGGGUUCAGAACGUCGUGAGACAGUUCGGUCCCUAUCCGUCGCGGGCGUAGGAAAUUUGAGAGGACCUGUCCUUAGUACGAGAGGACCGGGAUGGACAUACCUCUGGUGUACCAGUUGUGCCGCCAGGCGCAUCGCUGGGUAGCUACGUAUGGAUGUGAUAAACGCUGAAAGCAUCUAAGUGUGAAACACACCUCGAGAUGAGAUUUCCCAUUCCUUUAUGGAAGUAAGACCCCUGAAAGAUGAUCAGGUAGAUAGGUUAGAAGUGGCAGUGCGGUGACGCAUGAAGCGGACUAAUACUAAUCGGUCGAGGACUUAACCAAG